This 67-nucleotide ribosomal RNA is filed under the name uncultured Clavariaceae. RNAcentral describes it as "partial 5.8S ribosomal RNA". It matches the Rfam family "5.8S ribosomal RNA", at positions 49 to 115 of the family's 154-position model. From Rfam's summary of the family: 5.8S ribosomal RNA (5.8S rRNA) is a component of the large subunit of the eukaryotic ribosome. It is transcribed by RNA polymerase I as part of the 45S precursor that also contains 18S and 28S rRNA. Functionally, it is thought that 5.8S rRNA may be involved in ribosome translocation. Lineage: Eukaryota; Fungi; Basidiomycota; Agaricomycetes; Agaricales; Clavariaceae. The record is from RNAcentral.
CGAAUUGCGAUAUGUAAUGUGAACUGCAGAAUUCAGUGAAUCAUCGAAUCUUUGAACGCACAUUGCA